Molecule: ribosomal RNA, 301 nt
Filed under: uncultured bacterium
Lineage: Bacteria
Description: partial 16S ribosomal RNA
Rfam family: Bacterial small subunit ribosomal RNA
Source: RNAcentral
CAGCCGCCGCGGUAAUACGAAGGGUGCAAGCGCUACUCGGAAUUACUGGGCGUAAAGCGUGCGUAGGUGGUGGUUUAAGUCCGUUGUGAAAGCCCUGGGCUCAACCUGGGAAUUGCAGUGGAUACUGGGUCACUAGAGUGUGGUAGAGGAUAGUGGAAUUUCCGGUGUAGCAGUGAAAUGCGUAGAGAUCGGAAGGAACAUCUGUGGCGAAGGCGACUAUCUGGGCCAACACUGACACUGAGGCACGAAAGCGUGGGGAGCAAACAGGAUUAGAUACCCCAGUAGUCCCUGUCUCUUAUAC